Molecule: ribosomal RNA, 380 nt
Filed under: Trachylepis sulcata (Western rock skink)
Lineage: Eukaryota; Metazoa; Chordata; Lepidosauria; Squamata; Scincidae
Description: partial 12S ribosomal RNA
Rfam family: Bacterial small subunit ribosomal RNA
Source: RNAcentral
GCUUAGCCCUAAACAUAGAUAGCAAACAUACAAUGCUAUCCGCCAGAGAACUACCAGUGAAAAACUAGAAACUCCAAGGACUUGGCGGUGCUCCAUACCGACCUAGAGGAGCCUGUCCUAUAAUCGAUAAUCCACGCUACACCCCACCACCCCUUGCAACUCAGCUUAUAUACCGCCGUCGUCAGCCUACCUUGUGAAAGAACUAAAGUGGACAAAAUAGUUAUUAACAAAAACGUCAGGUCAAGGUGUAGCCCAUGGGGUGGAAGAGAUGGGCUACACUUUCUACCUCAGAACACACGAAUAGCACAGUGAAACCUGAGCUUGAAGGCGGAUUUAGUAGUAAGGUAAACAAGAAAAUUUACCUGAACCCCGCUCUGGAG